This 73-nucleotide transfer RNA is filed under the name Bos taurus (domestic cattle). It matches the Rfam family "tRNA". Rfam says of the family: Transfer RNA (tRNA) molecules are approximately 80 nucleotides in length. Their secondary structure includes four short double-helical elements and three loops (D, anti-codon, and T loops). RNAcentral also lists the same sequence under 4 other names. The record is from Rfam by way of RNAcentral. Lineage: Eukaryota; Metazoa; Chordata; Mammalia; Artiodactyla; Bovidae.
UCCCUGGUGGCCCAGUGGCUAUGACACUGCACUCCCAAUGCAGGGAGCCCGGGUUCAAUCCCUGGUCAGGGUA